AUCUCGUCGCGCACGGAGGCACGCGGAGCGUCAAUGGCCAUGGCACGGGCGCCGGGCACAAAAAUACAACAACCUGUUUUGUUUUCCUCUGACUUUUGAACGGUGGGGACUUUAAUGGAAGUGAAGGGUGUGUAGCGGAUAUGCAGAAGUGUCCGGCUGCUUUGUGGCGAAUCUAUGAAAGUCAAGUGAGAAGGGUGGCAAGAACAGGUUAGGUGCGCAGCCGGUGCGGGUCUGCUCUGCUGCGGGGACGAGACAGCUGCACUUAUCGCCAUCAACGACAAAAUUUUUCCCAUCAGCGCACGGGGACCUCCUAUCCCGACAGAGGAGGCGUCGCGUCGCAGAGAGGUGAAAGGAUGACAUGGGAGGGCGCGCAGCAGUUCAUCAUCAUAAGCACACCUGAAGCUUGGAGGCGAGUGGCUGGCGCAGGUUGGAGGCGGCGUGCCCGGGCAACAAAGGCUGCAGAUUUUAAGGUAAGAGAGAAGACUGGGCUGCCUUUCACCGGUCGCAGUUAGGCUUCGUUUCGCACUCAGUUUCACGGUGCGGAGGCCCUUCUCCCCCGCGAAUGCUCAA
Frankliniella occidentalis (western flower thrips) is the source of this 570-nucleotide long non-coding RNA. RefSeq lists it as uncharacterized. The record is from RefSeq and is a predicted model, not a curated record. The transcript has 3 exons. NCBI's taxonomy places the organism in Eukaryota, Metazoa, Arthropoda, Insecta, Thysanoptera, Thripidae.